UCCCCGUUGCCCCUCCCUCAGCAAACAGUCAGCACUCAGCACCCUCAGUCGCUCACGGCCUCACCUCACUCCGCCGCCGCCGCCGCCGCCAUCCCUCAAUCUAGCGUCCUAGCUGCCACCACGCUCAUCCCUCUCCUUCCCCGUCGACCAGCUUGACCCCGUCCUCCUGUAGCCCUCCCAUUUUGUUCCCCACAACCUUCUCUCCAUCGCUCCUCAGUCCUGGUGCCGCUCGUAGCCGCCGUCGCGGCUAUGACCAAGGGCUGGGUCCAAAGGGUGCAGCAGGAUGAUGAGGAGGAGGAGACGACUCGCUUGAAUCGUACAGCUUCAGCUUCAAUGAAGAUUGGCAAGCGUGUCUGGAGAAAAUGGACUCGCAGGUCAUCAGAUGCAUACUUUCUUGGAGCAAUCAAUUGAGUUUUGGAUGAGCAAGUAAAGCUUACUUGGUAUCUUGAAAAAAAGAGUUGCAAGACACUCCAAAGCAAGAGGGACUAUGAUCUACUGAAGAGCUUGAAGACCUUUUCAUCUUAUGGCUCAGGAGCAAGAAAUGAGGCCUAUGAGCAUUGUGUGAUAUUUCCACUGAAUUCUGUGGUGUCAUUAGAGCCUAUGCUGAGUAAUUUGUAGUCUUCGUUGUAAGAUUUAUUUUGAAUUCAAAUAUAAAAUAAAAAAUAAUUCAUUUGUUGGGCUGCAAGCCUAGAAUGGGCAAAAUUCAAUGCGUAUUCAGAAAUUUCAA
Molecule: long non-coding RNA, 727 nt
Organism: Setaria italica (foxtail millet)
Lineage: Eukaryota; Viridiplantae; Streptophyta; Magnoliopsida; Poales; Poaceae
Exons: 3
Source: RefSeq, a predicted model, not a curated record